Molecule: ribosomal RNA, 496 nt
Filed under: uncultured bacterium
Lineage: Bacteria
Description: partial 16S ribosomal RNA
Rfam family: Bacterial small subunit ribosomal RNA
Source: RNAcentral
GAUGAACGCUGGCGGCGUGCCUAAUACAUGCAAGUCGAGCGAACAGACGAGGAGCUUGCUCCUUUGACGUUAGCGGCGGACGGGUGAGUAACACGUGGGUAACCUACCUAUAAGACUGGGAUAACUUCGGGAACCGGAGCUAAUACCGGAUAAUAUUUCGAACCGCAUGGUUCGAUAGUGAAAGAUGGCUUUGCUAUCACUUAUAGAUGGACCUGCGCCGUAUUAGCUAGUUGGUAAGGUAACGGCUUACCAAGGCAACGAUACGUAGCCGACCUGAGAGGGUGAUCGGCCACACUGGAACUGAGACACGGUCCAGACUCCUACGGGAGGCAGCAGUAGGGAAUCUUCCGCAAUGGGCGAAAGCCUGACGGAGCAACGCCGCGUGAGUGAUGAAGGUCUUCGGAUCGUAAAACUCUGUUAUUAGGGAAGAACAAACGUGUAAGUAACUGUGCACGUCUUGACGGUACCUAAUCAGAAAGCCACGGCUAACUACGUG